Daphnia pulex (common water flea) is the source of this 840-nucleotide long non-coding RNA. RefSeq lists it as uncharacterized. The transcript has 3 exons. NCBI's taxonomy places the organism in Eukaryota, Metazoa, Arthropoda, Branchiopoda, Diplostraca, Daphniidae. The record is from RefSeq and is a predicted model, not a curated record.
UUUCAGAACUCGGCAAAAGUUUCUGAACAUGGAUUGGUGGACGAUCAGAAAACACAAGUGAGCCUAGAGGUUCCAUCAUGGGUGUGUCAGUGAUUGAGACCAAGGAACUGAUUGAAUGCAUCCGACUAUCAGUUUUUCCGGAUAAACACUGGCUUAACACGGAGAUUUUUUAACUCACCUGAUAUAUAGGAAGGAUAACCGUUGUAAUGAAUGGAUUCCUGAACUGCUGACGUACCGGUCGAAGGGGGGUUGAAAGCUAGUUUCGGAUGAUGAGAAGACAUGCAAUUAGAAGGCCAUGUUCCGGAUUCCUUGUUACAUAAACUGAUUCCCGUGUUGUAAUUUGAAGAGUAACCUUAAAUAAUUCAAAUGUAUUUAAAUUUUAAAUUGCUUUGAAAUUCUUUUAUAGUAGCACAAAUAAAUUAUUCAAUACGUGUGAUUCAAAUACGCACGCCUUUGACUUAUGGCUCAUUCUUAUUGACGCGUUUUAGGCCGAGGAACUAUGGAGAUAAUAAAGCCUCCAGCAUACUACGGUACAUCUUUAAGAAAACGAGGAGAGAUAUGGAAAUCCUAUGUGCACGCGGAGAGUUCUCUAUUACUGAAUAUUGUUCCACACACUCCAAUGUUCUGUGUGUGCUCAUGGAAUUUUAGUCUGAGAAUUGUUUGGUCUUGGGGUUGCGCUCCAAUAGAAAUCUGUUUACCGGACAACAUUUAGCUCCUAUCGUAUUGAACAGCCUCUUUAUAAUAACCGUAAAAUGUGCUACCCAUCGCCGGCUAAAAACCCACCACUUUAGACAGUCGAUGGAUGUGUGGCAAAAAGGGCAAGAGGAAAUGGGAGGAAGA